RNAcentral lists this transfer RNA (69 nucleotides) under Lampanyctus macdonaldi (rakery beaconlamp). RNAcentral's name for it is "tRNA-His". It matches the Rfam family "tRNA". From Rfam's summary of the family: Transfer RNA (tRNA) molecules are approximately 80 nucleotides in length. Their secondary structure includes four short double-helical elements and three loops (D, anti-codon, and T loops). Lineage: Eukaryota; Metazoa; Chordata; Actinopteri; Myctophiformes; Myctophidae. The record is from RNAcentral.
GUAGACAUAGUUUAACCAAAACAUUAGAUUGUGAUUCUAAAAACAGAAGUUAGACCCUUCUUGUCCACC